RNAcentral lists this ribosomal RNA (253 nucleotides) under uncultured bacterium. Its description in RNAcentral is "partial 16S ribosomal RNA". It matches the Rfam family "Bacterial small subunit ribosomal RNA", at positions 524 to 776 of the family's 1533-position model. The record is from RNAcentral.
UACAGAGGUCUCAAGCGUUGUUCGGAUUCAUUGGGCGUAAAGGGUGCGUAGGCGGCGCGGUAAGUCGGGUGUGAAAUCUCGGGGCUUAACUCCGAAACUGCAUUCGAUACUGCCGUGCUUGAGGACUGGAGAGGAGACUGGAAUUUACGGUGUAGCGGUGAAAUGCGUAGAUAUCGUAAGGAAGACCAGUGGCGAAGGCGGGUCUCUGGGCAACUACUGACGCUGAGGAGCGAAAGCGUGGGGAGCGAACAGG